CGGGAAUUUUGGGCAAUGGGCGAAAGCCUGACCCAGCGACGCCGCGUGAGGGAUGAAGUAUUUCGGUAUGUAAACCUCGAAAGAAUGGGAAGAAUAAAUGACGGUACCAUUUAUAAGCUCCGGCUAACUACGUGCCAGCAGCCGCGGUAAUACGUAGGGAGCAAGCGUUGUUCGGAUUUACUGGGCGUAAAGGGCGCGUAGGCGGCGCGGUAAGUCACUUGUGAAAUCUCUGAGCUUAACUCAGAACGGCCAAGUGAUACUGCUGUGCUAGAGUGCGGAAGAGGCAACCGGAAUUCUUGGUGUAGCGGUGAAAUGCGUAGACAUCAAGAGGAACACCUGAGGCGAAGGCGGGUUGCUGGGCCGACACUGACGCUGAUGCGCGAAAGCCAGGGGAGCAAACG
RNAcentral lists this ribosomal RNA (401 nucleotides) under uncultured bacterium. Its description in RNAcentral is "bacterial SSU rRNA". It matches the Rfam family "Bacterial small subunit ribosomal RNA", at positions 356 to 774 of the family's 1533-position model. The record is from RNAcentral.